RNAcentral lists this transfer RNA (71 nucleotides) under Astrohamma tuberculatum. RNAcentral describes it as "tRNA-Gln". It matches the Rfam family "tRNA". Rfam says of the family: Transfer RNA (tRNA) molecules are approximately 80 nucleotides in length. Their secondary structure includes four short double-helical elements and three loops (D, anti-codon, and T loops). Further hydrogen bonds mediate the characteristic L-shaped molecular structure. tRNAs have two regions of fundamental functional importance: the anti-codon, which is responsible for specific mRNA codon recognition, and the 3' end, to which the tRNAs corresponding amino acid is attached (by aminoacyl-tRNA synthetases). tRNAs cope with the degeneracy of the genetic code in two manners: having more than one tRNA (with a specific anti-codon) for a particular amino acid; and 'wobble' base-pairing, i.e. permitting non-standard base-pairing at the 3rd anti-codon position. Lineage: Eukaryota; Metazoa; Echinodermata; Ophiuroidea; Euryalida; Gorgonocephalidae. The record is from RNAcentral.
UAAGAAAUAAGUAAACGGAAUACUACAAACUUUUGAAAUUUAUAUUAAGAGUUCAAAUCUCUUUUUCUUAA